RNAcentral lists this long non-coding RNA (1410 nucleotides) under Marmota monax (woodchuck). The record is from RNAcentral. Lineage: Eukaryota; Metazoa; Chordata; Mammalia; Rodentia; Sciuridae.
GCACAACAGAUUGACACCCCUGGUGGCAGGUAGGGGACCUCUAAGGAAGUCCCUCCCGAGCUGCUCUGUCCAGCCAGGCCCCGGCAGCGUGUCUCCCCUCCUGGAGGCCUGGGCUGGUCACUGCAUGCUUGCUGGGGCACUAGGGGCACAGGUACAUGCUGGGCCUUGGUGGCCACCUCGUUGGCUAUGUGGAGAGAGACACUUGCAGAACCAGCAGAUGAGUGCAUGGCACACAGGCCUGGCAUGCUGUGCUGGUCUGGCUGCCCACUUCUGCAGAUGCCUCCUGUUCCGUCUCAGUAACACACCUGUGGGAGGUUGGAAAGGGAGUCUAGGGUCAUGUGCUUAAAAUGUGUGUUUUUUGCCUUGACAAUAGAAAGGAGAUCUUGAGUCUAACCCAAGUGUAAAUAGAGCUUUGGGUGCACGACAGUUAAGCAGUCAACGCCACCAUCCCUGCCUCCUAGGGCCAUGGCCAGCGUUCCUUGCCCAUCCUUCCCUGCAUCCAUUUCAGCACAGGUGACAGGGAGCCAACUGCUGACACCAGGAGCCUCUGCCCACAGCUGGUCCGUGUGUUAGUCCUGGCAGCCAUUAUCCACCACCAAGUGCAGCCCACGCUUCCUGCCUGCUGUCUCCCAUCAACCCUGGCCCUGCGGCACUCUUAAAACAGGCUCUGGACAUGGUGACCAGACCUGGGCACUGUCCUGCUGGAACCAUUAGUGUCUGGGACUGCUCUGGUGGACUGCAGACACGGCCCAGGAGGCCCUGCCCUCCCCAGCCCUCUGCCUGCUGGAUGCCCCUGGCCUCUCACUUUCCUCCUCCUCCGUCUGCAUCAGACUCCAGUCCCAGCAGUUCUCCCUGCUCGGCUUCACUUGGGAGACUUCCUGUUCACUUUGCCCUCUGCUUGGAAGGCCUGGGGUUCAACAUGCCUGGCUCUGGCACGUCUGAAGGCACAGUGGGCUGCCUCUAGGAUGCACUCGCUCAGACAGAAUUUGCUGCUUUUGGUAGCUGCACAUCACCACCGAAGUCACGUCGCCUCAGAAGCAAGCGUUGGUCCCUCUCUGCCUCAUUCGGUAGGUCGUAAACGCACAUGAAGGAGUGUCGGGGCUUGUUUGCUGGUGUGUUCCCAGGCCCAGGGCCGUUCUGGACACAAGAGCUGCCCAAGAGCGGGCUGCGUGGUGGAAAGGCUAAGGAGCUGGGGGAGAUGCUGGCCAAGGCGACCCUGCACUCAAAUGCCUGUGUCCAGCACCCUCCUGCCACGCUCUCCUUCACUGUCUCACCCCUGGUGGAGUCGUCCUGCUCACUCAGGAGGCCGCGGGGCGAGAUGGUGGCUGGGCAUCUGUGCAGGCAUUUAGUGUGGCUUUGAGGACUCGGGGACACCCAUGGUGUGAUGAGGUCUCUGACACGUGCUGUUCC